ACGUAAUAGAUACCCAGGUAGUCCACGCCCUAAACGAUGUCUACUAGUUGUCGGGUUUUAAUUAACUUGGUAACGCAGCUAAACGCGUGAAAGUAGACCGCCUGGGGAGUACGGUCGCAAGAUUAAAACUCAAAGGAAUUGACGGGGACCCGCACAAGCGGUGGAUGAUGUGGAUUAAUUCGAUGCAACGCGAAAAACCUUAACCUACCCUUGACAUGUACGGAAGCUCGGAGAGAUCUGAGUGUGCUCGAAAGAGAGCCGUAACACAGGUGCUGCAUGGCUGUCGUCAGCUCGUGUCGUGAGAUGUUGGGUUAAGUCCCGCAACGAGCGCAACCCUUGUCAUUAGUUGCUACGAAAGGGCACUCUAAUGAGACUGCCGGUGACAAACCGGAGGAAGGUGGGGAUGACGUCAAGUCCUCAUGGCCCUUAUGGGUAGGGCUUCACACGUCAUACAAUGGUACAUACAGAGGGCCGCCAACCCGCGAGGGGUAGCUAAUCCCAGAAAGUGUAUCGUAGUCCGGAUUGUAGUCUGCAACUCG
This 539-nucleotide ribosomal RNA is filed under the name uncultured bacterium. Its description in RNAcentral is "bacterial SSU rRNA". It matches the Rfam family "Bacterial small subunit ribosomal RNA", at positions 772 to 1314 of the family's 1533-position model. The record is from RNAcentral.